CAGCUUUUCCGACGCGUGGCAGCUGCCUUGCCUGGAAUGGAAAGCACACAAGACAAAAGUAGAGAAGACAUGAUUGACAUCAAACUGGAAAAGCCUCAAGAGCAGCCUGUCAGUGAAGGAGGCUGUUCCUGCUAAUACCAAGGGGCUUCUCCUUUUUCUCCGGAACAUCACGGCUUUCCCUCCCCUUUUACUCUUCAUUGACUGCGGUGUGAAUAUUGGCUUGAACCUUCCCCUUUCAGUAAUAACGUAUUUGCAGUUUCAUCAUCGCUGGCUGUCUCGUGGAGAUGAUCUAUUAGCUUCACAAGCACACACACCCACCCACACAAACACAAAGAAAAUGUCAGUGUCUUCAUUAUUUAUAAAGAAAAAAAAACAAA
Calidris pugnax (ruff) is the source of this 377-nucleotide long non-coding RNA. RefSeq lists it as uncharacterized. Lineage: Eukaryota; Metazoa; Chordata; Aves; Charadriiformes; Scolopacidae. The transcript has 2 exons. The record is from RefSeq and is a predicted model, not a curated record.